This 572-nucleotide ribosomal RNA is filed under the name Takifugu snyderi (shosai-fugu). RNAcentral's name for it is "partial 16S rRNA". It matches the Rfam family "Bacterial large subunit ribosomal RNA", at positions 1817 to 2597 of the family's 2925-position model. Lineage: Eukaryota; Metazoa; Chordata; Actinopteri; Tetraodontiformes; Tetraodontidae. The record is from RNAcentral.
CGCCUCUUGCCUCAAUGAAUAAGAGGUCACGCCUGCCCUGUGACUAUAUGUUUAACGGCCGCGGUAUUUUGACCGUGCAAAGGUAGCGCAAUCACUUGUCCUUUAAAUGUGGACCUGUAUGAAUGGCAUAACGAGGGCUUAGCUGUCUCCUUUCUCAAGUCAAUGAACUUGAUCUCCCCGUGCAGAAGCGGGGAUAAAACCAUAAGACGAGAAGACCCUAUGGAGCUUUAGACAAAAAACAGCCCCUGUCAAUAAACCCCAAAUAAAGGAAAUAAACCUAGUGAACCUGUUUUAAUGUCUUUGGUUGGGGCGACCGCGGGGUAACAAAAAACCCCCAUGUGGAAUGAAAACACCCUUUUUAAAACCAAGAGUCACCACUCUAAGUUACAGAACAUCUGACCAAUAAUGAUCCGGCUAAAGCCGAUUAACGAACCGAGUUACCCUAGGGAUAACAGCGCAAUCCUCUUUUAGAGUCCAUAUCGACAAGAGGGUUUACGACCUCGAUGUUGGAUCAGGACAUCCCAAUGGUGCAGCCGCUAUUAAAGGUUCGUUUGUUCAACGAUUAAAGUCCU